AAUUUACCCAAUCCUGAUUCAGGGGAGGGUAGUGACAAUAAAUAACAAUCCAGGACUUCGGUCUUGGAAUUUGGAAUGAGAACAAUUUAAAUCUCUUAUCUGAGGAACAAUUGGAGGGCAAGUCUGGUGCAGCAGCCGCGGUAAAUUCCAUGCUCCAAUAGCGUAUAUUAAAGUUGUUGCAGUUAAAUGGCUCGUAGUUUGAAUCUUGGGACUGGUUUUGGCGGUCGCGUCUUUGACUGUGUACUGUCGGCCGGUUCUUUUACUUGUGGGGAACGUAUGUGCCCUUUGCGGGGUGUGUACGGGAACCAUGGCUGUUACUUUGAAAAAAUUAGAGUGUUUAAAGCGGGCG
This 349-nucleotide ribosomal RNA is filed under the name uncultured fungus. RNAcentral's name for it is "bacterial SSU rRNA". It matches the Rfam family "Eukaryotic small subunit ribosomal RNA", at positions 438 to 786 of the family's 1831-position model. The record is from RNAcentral. Lineage: Eukaryota; Fungi.